This 1027-nucleotide long non-coding RNA is filed under the name Apteryx rowi (Okarito brown kiwi). RNAcentral describes it as "lncRNA (ENSARWG00000017581.1)". The record is from RNAcentral. Lineage: Eukaryota; Metazoa; Chordata; Aves; Apterygiformes; Apterygidae.
GAAAAUUCUAAAGUAUAUCUCAAGCUAUGACAUAUGCAUCUAGGAGUAUGUUUCAGAUUACCUUAAACUGUACAUCACAAAAAUACAUACUUUUGAAGUAUUUCACAUAUGUUCAUUUUUCUCUUUUAAUGAAUUUCCCUUUAACUCUUACACAUCUGCCUAACAGUACACAAGGAGGAAAUCUGUAGAGUUUGUUAUUAGCCUUUAAAUAAGGUUAAAUUGCCAUUUAUGUAAGCGUAGAUAAUUAUUGUAUCCAUCCAAAUUUGAGAGUAGGAUUUGGACUUUUUUGUGACUUGCAAGAUUUGAAUGCAGCCUUCUAGAAUGUCAGUACUGUCAUUGCAGAUUUUGCAGCUUCAGCAUCCUGAUGAUGGCUUGCCUCAGAAAUGCAGYUGCUGUCUGAAUGAGGAGUACAUAGAGAUGUAUGUAGCCUGCAUUAUCAUUUAAUACAGCCCAGUAGCCUGGAUCCAGCUAGCUCUGGUGCUACAAAAUCAAGACAGUAAAUUCCGGGUUUUCUCUGAAUGAAGAGCACAUGUGGAAGGGAGCAGGGUGUCGAGAUACUGAAGUUAACAUCAGAUGAGCUGGCUCUGGAAUCAGAAGCAAUGCAGUCAUGACACUGAAGCGCUGCGCUGGAGGUAAAUGCCCUGGCAGAGAUGCUGGCCUAGUUACACAUGACAGUCUAACACCGUCCUUCCUUCUGGGAUCUGUGCUAGUACUGCUGCACUGCAACAUAUUGAUGUCCUGUUUCAGCCCCUCAAAGCUUUUGCUGGAGCUCUUCUAUGAAAUUUGGACUCCGAUUUUACAGCACCUGGAGUGACCAGAGGCCUGUCCCGAUUGGAGCCUUUGGCAUGGACCGUAGUACGGACAGGGAGCAAUAGCAGUAACAGAGCACCUGCUCUGCCAAAAACGGCUCAGGCGCCCGGCUUCAGAGGUGGGCCAGCUCUUGCCAAUUGCUCGUCUGAUGCGCAGAGAUGCUACACAAGUUGCAUGUGCUGCCAUUCACGUUAAUAAACUGUAGCGCACAUUGACA